Molecule: ribosomal RNA, 579 nt
Filed under: uncultured bacterium
Lineage: Bacteria
Description: partial 16S ribosomal RNA
Rfam family: Bacterial small subunit ribosomal RNA
Source: RNAcentral
UGGGGAAUUUUGGACAAUGGGCGAAAGCCUGAUCCAGCAAUGCCGCGUGUGUGAAGAAGGCCUUCGGGUUGUAAAGCACUUUUGUCCGGAAAGAAAUCCUUGGCUCUAAUACAGUCGGGGGAUGACGGUACCGGAAGAAUAAGCACCGGCUAACUACGUGCCAGCAGCCGCGGUAAUACGUAGGGUGCAAGCGUUAAUCGGAAUUACUGGGCGUAAAGCGUGCGCAGGCGGUUUGCUAAGACCGAUGUGAAAUCCCCGGGCUCAACCUGGGAACUGCAUUGGUGACUGGCAGGCUAGAGUAUGGCAGAGGGGGGUAGAAUUCCACGUGUAGCAGUGAAAUGCGUAGAGAUGUGGAGGAAUACCGAUGGCGAAGGCAGCCCCCUGGCCAAGUACUGACGCUCAUGCACGAAAGCGUGGGGGAGCAAAACAGGAUUUAGAUACCCCUGGUAGUCCACGCCCUAAACGAUGUCAACUAGUUGUUGGGGAUUCAUUUCCUUAGUAACGUAGCUAACGCGUGAAGUUGACCGCCUGGGGAGUACGGUCGCAAGAUUAAAACUCAAAUGAAUUGACGGGGUCAUA